Anopheles merus is the source of this 2168-nucleotide RNA transcript. RefSeq lists it as uncharacterized. NCBI's taxonomy places the organism in Eukaryota, Metazoa, Arthropoda, Insecta, Diptera, Culicidae. The record is from RefSeq and is a predicted model, not a curated record. The transcript is spliced from 5 exons.
UUGGACAGAGCUGCAUUCACCAACACCAAAUGUUCGUUUGUGACCUGGCCUAACAAACACUUCCUAGUUGCACAUCGUUAUCUGCCGCACUUUUACAGGGUAUUUUUGGCGCAUAUAAUGCAACUGUGAUAAGAAGGUUGAUUCCUCUGCUGGAUGUUGAUAACAGAGUACGGGUUUUGGUUUAGCAUUGCAUCAGUCGUUUACAAGCGUUCUUUGAAUGCUGACGGUAACUGAUUAAUUAUUGACUAGCGGGAGUGGAUUUGUGUACGAUGAAACACUUUAAACGGAUUGUUUCACUAUUGACGAACACAGUGCUGCUGGUUGGGAUUAUAUUGGCUUUACCUGUGAUAAUAGCAAUCUUGGUGUUGUUUCAAGUGCAUCGACAAAUAGUGGCGCAAUUGCUGGCGAUUAAAUAUGGCUCAUCGUUCCGCGGGCUGGUGCAAGGAUCGGAUGUGGUGUGGGCAGGGCAGGAACGAUCAUCCAAGGCAGUGGCAAGCGUGUUGCUUCUGUUUGAGAAACCUGUGCAUGUGUCAGACGACAGCGCGCAUUUGCUGGAGCUGUUUCGUGAACGAUUCAAACGUCUUCACUCAGUUGAUGCGUAUCAGAAAUUGUUCUGGCAAAGGCGCAUUCAGUGGGGUUACUAUUUUUGGAUCAAACAGGGGCUUCCGCUUUGGAGCGAUCGUUACGUCAAACAGCUCGACGUGAUUCCCACCAGCAGCAGCUGCCUUUCCAAAAGACAACUCUGUGCACUAAUUGGCUCAAUCAGCAAUCGGGAUUGCAAUGGUACGAGCUGGGAGUUGCUCGUUGGAAGACAACCAUUAUGUCACGACGACAGCACUGUAAUGCUGUACCCGGUCCUUUUCAGGUACCAUCAUUCAAUCGCUGAUGGAAUUGCAAUAUUUCGAACGUUCUGCAAAGAAUUCCUCGACAGUACGGCCACGGCGGAGGAACACGUGUGGAAUCCAAAUGCGGACAAUCAGACCGCGGUGCAUGGUUUUUUCACUUGGCGUAAUGUCUUCCGUAUGGCUUACCGUGGGCCGAGAUUUUUGGCACACGAAAUAUUGCUCAAGCGGGAAUGCAAUCCGUUCUACGGUCCGGAACCAAGCAAUAAUAAAAUCGUCUGCUGGGCAGGCGACCAUGCAGGGCGACCAGCAAAUCACGCGACUCCGGCGAUAAGCGCAAUCAAGACAGUCAAGCGUUUGGUAAAUGAUUGCAGCUUUACAGACAUUUUGCUGACGGCAUUUGCCACGAGUCUUGGGGCACACUGCAGGCGGAAGCGCUUACCCGUGCCAACGACCGUCACUAUCGGGCAGAUGCGGCGGUUCCAUCGCGAGUCUGAAGUAAUUCAGCUGCGCAAUCGCUCGACGGCUGUAUUUAAAACGUUGCCAAUAGGCAGUCUGCCAUGCGGAUCGAGCACAAUCGACCAGCUCAAAUGCCAGAUAAAUGCUGUAAAAGGUCCGGACGAAGGAUUUCAGGCCAGUACAGAUGCUUUAAUUACUCACCUGAGCGUGUCGUACCUUCCAGAGCUACUGCCGGCUUCAGUUGUACGGGCAUUGUUUGCUAGAAGCAAGUUUUCGAUUGCUAUGUCCAACAUUCCUGCCUUCGCCGGCAGUGUCUCUCUGGGAAGGUACAUUCUCAGGGAGGCCACAUUCUGGGUACCCAACAUUGAGCGCAACCUGUUCGGGUUGACCUUACUGACAACGGACGGCCGCUUACAGAUAGGUGCAAUCGCUGAUAGGACAAUAAUUAAGGAUGAAGAAGAACUCGAACAAAUACUUAACGAAACAUUGCAGGAGCUAAGCAAUAUGGCGUGCAUGAUAAAAUGCAACGAAAUACCUUUUACAUGAAAAGGACCUUAUGUCUUGGUAAGGCGAAACCCCAUUUGGAUCAUGAUGUGCACGGUUCGCGCUAGCAAUAGUUGCAAUCGCCACAGACUCACGUACGUGACAGUUUCCGUAUUCGGCCAAUUUGUGUGUUCGUAGUUAAAAAGAAACCAGACACCAUUUUUUCAGUCCCCAGUUGUCUGAACGUCCCAUCUACACGUACUUACAGAGCCGUACAACACAUACCAUAAGCUUACCGGUUGUUAUUGAUCCGUACUGUACAUGGUACCACUCUCCGCUGGAAAUCAAUGUGAAAGCUUUUGGAAACAGAAUGAGAAAGAGCCC